Long non-coding RNA from Poeciliopsis prolifica (blackstripe livebearer), 255 nucleotides. RefSeq lists it as uncharacterized. The record is from RefSeq and is a predicted model, not a curated record. Lineage: Eukaryota; Metazoa; Chordata; Actinopteri; Cyprinodontiformes; Poeciliidae. The transcript is spliced from 3 exons.
GUGAAGCCAAGACAGGGGUCACAUGCUCUCUCUUUCGACAAAGAUGUUGUAUAGACGAAGAAAACCUUUUCAAAGAGACAGAAGUUCUCAGGCAUGCCGGGAUCCUGGAUGGGAUAGGCUGUCACUGGAGAAACAAGAGCCAUACUAGGGCCUACCAGAAACCUCUUCCAGUGAGAACAGGAGCAGCAGCUUCUGGAUCAGCUGCAGCUGGAGGAUUGAUUUGUUGGACAGGCCUGUGAAGACGCUGUUGCAAUA